GGGGACCUUGCCCGGUGGUCAAACCGGGAGGAAGGUGGGAUGACGUCAAGUCCUCAUGGCCUUUAUGUCUAGGGCUACACACGUACUACAAUGGCAGGUACAAAGGGCAGCGACACAGCGAUGUGAUGCGAAUCCCGAAAGCCUGUCUCAGUCCGGAUCGGAGUCUGCAACUCGACUCCGUGAAGUUGGAAUCGCUAGUAAUCGUGGAUCAGCAUGCCACGGUGAAUACCGGUUCCCGGGCCUU
RNAcentral lists this ribosomal RNA (244 nucleotides) under uncultured Desulfobacterium sp. RNAcentral describes it as "partial 16S ribosomal RNA". It matches the Rfam family "Bacterial small subunit ribosomal RNA", at positions 1142 to 1382 of the family's 1533-position model. The record is from RNAcentral. Lineage: Bacteria; Pseudomonadati; Thermodesulfobacteriota; Desulfobacteria; Desulfobacterales; Desulfobacteriaceae.